RNAcentral lists this ribosomal RNA (433 nucleotides) under uncultured bacterium. RNAcentral describes it as "partial 16S ribosomal RNA". It matches the Rfam family "Bacterial small subunit ribosomal RNA", at positions 29 to 507 of the family's 1533-position model. The record is from RNAcentral.
AACGAACGCUGGCGGCAGGCCUAACACAUGCAAGUCGAGCGAGAACUUCGGAUCUAGCGGCGGACGGGUGUGUAACGCGUGGGAAGGUGCCCGUCUCUACGGAAUAGCACUGUGAAACUGGGAGUAAUACCGUAUACGCUCUGUUAGGACAAGAUUUAUCGGAGAAGGAUCAGCACGAGAUGGUUUAGGUAGUUGGUGUGGUAAUAGCCUACCAAGCCGUCGAUCGAUAGCUGGGUUGAGAGGAUGAGUAGCCACACUGGGACUGGGACACGGCCCAGAAUCCUACGGGAGGGAGGAGUGGCGAAUCUUAGACAAUCGGGUCAACCCUGAACGAGCCAUGCCGCGUGAGUGAUGAAGGUCUUAGGGUUGUAAAGCUCUUUCAGCUGGGAAUAUACUGACGGUACCAGCAGAAGAAGCCCCGGCUAACUCCGUG